This 253-nucleotide ribosomal RNA is filed under the name uncultured bacterium. RNAcentral describes it as "partial 16S ribosomal RNA". It matches the Rfam family "Bacterial small subunit ribosomal RNA", at positions 524 to 776 of the family's 1533-position model. The record is from RNAcentral.
UACGUAGGGUGCGAGCGUUAAUCGGAAUUACUGGGCGUAAAGCGUGCGCAGGCGGUUUUGUAAGCCAGAUGUGAAAGCCCCGGGCUUAACCUGGGAAUGGCAUUUGGGACUGCAAGGCUUGAGUGCGGCAGAGGAGACUGGAAUUUACGGUGUAGCAGUGAAAUGCGUAGAGAUCGUAAGGAAGACCAGUGGCGAAGGCGGGUCUCUGGACAGUUCCUGACACUGAGGCACGAAGGCCAGGGGAGCAAACGGG